Molecule: non-coding RNA, 4153 nt
Organism: Taeniopygia guttata (zebra finch)
Lineage: Eukaryota; Metazoa; Chordata; Aves; Passeriformes; Estrildidae
Source: RefSeq, a predicted model, not a curated record
CCAGACCUUGGAAAAGCCAACUCAGUGAAAGCAAGGACCCUAAACCCACCAGCUUCAUCUGCUGUGAAGACGAGACCAACAAAAGAGAUUCACCAGGCUUCCCAUCUGAUUUUUUCCUGAACUGGUAGAUCUCUGCAGCUCACAGAUUUGCCCACGGAAACUAUCAGACAUUAUCACAGGCCACAGAUAUUAAUUGGAGAUAUCAUAACACAGCUAAAGCAGGACCACUGCACAAAGAGAAACCCCAUCUGACACUCCAAGAGGACUGCAGCCACUCUAAUUUGGACUGCUACCAACACGCUGGCCAAAGGGGUGUCAGAUAUCAAAAUAAAGUGCUACUGAAAAGAACAAACUGAUGCCAGUGCUGCAGGUGAGAGAAGGCACAUGAAGGAGGUCAAGCACAUGAGUUCAGACCCUGGAUAGAGGCAGUCCUCUUGUGAAGCAGGGGAAUUUUCAAGGAAUAAUCGUAAUUGCUGGAAUCCUGGAUGCUGAGAAUUUUAAACUUUCUGUGCUGAAAGGCACAGACUCGCAAGAGAGCACUGCAUUUGACCUGAAGCUGUGGAGAAGACUUCUAAAAUUGAUUAACAGCACUGGGAUUCCAGAAGGACUUUUCUGCACAGGAGGAAGCAAUUGAUGGGAAUCAUGGGGAUUCAGCUGGAUUUCAUGAGCCAGCUGGAUUUCAUCUAUAUUUUGUUCUCUCCAUAUCUGUAUUCAACUAUGUUUCUGUCUAUAUAUACCUAUGUUUCUGUAUGUCAAUAGUUGUAUUUCAAAUUAUAUGCUGUUAUACUUACUUAGUUACAUUAUACAGAGAUUUAGAUAAGUACUUUAGUAUUUGCAUACUUAUAUUUGCUUACCACGUAUAUUGUUAUUUUUGCACAAAUGUCAACAUAUUUAUAUACCAUAGAUUGUUAUGUUUAUAUAUGUAUGGUGUUCCACGUAAAGCUGUGUAGAGUUGUACAGUUUAGUGUUGAAGACAGGUAGAAGAAUUAUGGGAAAAAAGCCUCAUAAAAUCAGGCCUGCUCUGUUAGAUCAAUGGCUGGCCUUGCUUUGCAAGUUCUUCGAAAACAAUCUUGGUAUGAAUAGUUGAUUAACAUAACAAUCUAUUCCUGGGUGGAAAACAACUAGUGCCUGCAUAAACAGUAAAUCUAUCCCAGAGGAUUAGUGAAGAAAAUAUGUAAACAAUUUAAAAUUAGAAGAGAUUUAAUGGACAAGUAAAAUACCUUUUACUAACCAAUAGAGUAAAUGGCAAGAAAACUACUAACCAAUUAAAGUUCACACGAUAUAAGUAUAAAAAUGUUCUGUGUGAAUGAAGAAAACAUUUUAUUCCUGAAUGAAAAAAAUGGAGUCUUGAGGUGGCUGCUGGAACCUGGGCUAGCUCUCAGAACUCCAGCCACAAGGCAGGAGUGGGGAACUGUGGGAUAUGCCCCUGGGGAAAACAGUUCAGGAAUGCCAUGGGAAACUGAUUUGUUUAAAACAGAACACUUCCCCAGAGUUCCCUGCUUCCCCAUGCAGAUGAGCAUAUGUCUAUCAUCUGUCAGUUCAUGCUUGUCAUCUCCCCAGGUUCUAGAAAGUUCCCCAUUCUCAUUACUCCCAUUGGUUCCCUCAGCAAACCACUCCUUCCCUUCUCCCUCAUUAGUCUAGUUUAUCUUGUUCCAUCCCUGCUCCUUCCCUGUACCCUUUUCCCGUUGAACGUUUUGUACCCCAACCACUCCUAUCCCUUCCCAGUUAAAUAUCCUAUCCCCCUCCAGUUAAAUAUCCCAGUUAAAUAUCCCCAGUGCCUCUCAGAGCUGUCUCCCCCUGUGUGUGGUUGUUUCCCUGUUCCUGUUCCUGCUUCCUUUGUCCUUCAACUUGUUUCAAUAAAACCACAUGGAUUUUGGCAGCACGGGAGUCUUCCUGUCUUUUGGUAGAGCCUCAUUACGCUAUCGAGGCAACUGUAGACCAGCCAGCAGUCUGUUGCUCUGCAGGACUCAGUCCGGGGCAGCCUUUAGGGAACUGCCUUGGUAUGAGGAUUUACCAGAGGCAGAAUCUUUAGAGCCACUUGCUCUAAGGUGACAGACACAAGCCACAACAGGGACCAGGCAGAGGAGAAAAGAGGAUGCUCUCCAUCUUGAGGUUCCACAACAAACAGUUUAUUCCAGGUAGAAAGAGUAGAACAAAAAGCCCACAGAUGUGCUGUCCAAGGCGUUUUGUAGAGAUACAAGUCGGGGGUGGACAACAGCUAACCAAUAGGGAAUCAUCAGGGGAGGAGUGCAGGGAUUACAUCCAGUGUCUAGGGCCAAUUGGAGUAGGAGGGUGGAGAGGAUGGGUCACAUGGGCCAAUUGGGCUUUAAGGAGUAGGGGAAUUCCAAAGAGGUAUUGCAGACAGGGUUUGGCCCAAGGCUUAAGUGGCAGAGAAGGUUCCGGAAUCAAGGGCUGGGUUGCCUUAACAGGCAGAGAAAAGAGCUGGAACAAAAGGUGGGGAAUGGCAUGAGGGACAGCUUUGAAGGAGGGUAAAACCCAGGGGUAAACCAACUCAGGGAGAUCAUGGGGGUACAACAGAACAAACUACUUAACAAGGAAUCAAUAAAAUAAAUUCAAACCACAACAGAGUCUCACAUUAUUAAUUCUAAUAGUUUAGUUAUUGCUUUGUGCAUAUUUAGAUAGUUCAUUUGAUGUUUGUCUUUUUGUAUAUAUACAUACGUAGGCAUUACUUUGUAACCUGCAAUAUAUUUAAUUGUGUGAUCUGAAAGUGAUAUUUAUAUCUUUAUAUAUGGUCACUGCAGUUGUACCAAUCUGUAGUAAGCUUUUAAAUGAAACUGGUAAUUGCGUAUAUGCAGGAUGGUUGCAAGCAUCGUAUAAUCAAUGACUUUUUUUUAACUGAAAGAGGUAUUGAAUUGUGGCUUUUGACUCAAUUAGCAGAUGUCCACCUUAGGAACCAGGAAGAUUUUAGCAAUGGGUCAUGAUAGGGGCUGGGGGAAAAUAGGCAGGCAUGCCCCACACCACAGAUCCCCCAGUUCCAAAAAAGGAGGGAAAGAAACUGCAGGGUUUGGAUAGGCAGUGGAGCCACAGAUUCAGGGAAAACUCACUGCACGGGCCUGCUAAGGAAAGCUACAAUUCCAAGUGUAACUUUGAGAAAGGCAAAGAAACCCCAAUCCAAGAGGACAUCUUACUUCUUUCCGGAUACCACUACUUUCCCACAUAACAAGCAGAUGAACAUAAAUCAAUCCCACAUACAGUGUAUCAACUCUUAAGGUAUAUUUACACCUGUUAUUACUUUGGAGUCCAAGAGAUCUUUUGUGAAGUCCACAAUGUAUUUCUAGAUUGGUGUACUCUCUGAGAAAUUAUUUUUUAAAUAUGGCCAUUAGCACUUUUCUGACAGUUUCAGACAUGGAAGAUAGAGAUUUGCCUAUGCUUCUAAAACCCCUCACAAGUUAUCUAUCCUCCAAAUCCUAGGGAAUUUUUACUGUGUUAUGAAUAAAUUUAAUGUCUAACCCUUUUGUCUGUUUACCUCCUCACAGUUCAGAAGUUUGCUUGUUCAUGUAUUUGUUAGUUCCACCCUUAUAUAUUGGCCCCUAUACCUAAUUUACACCCCCAGUUAACUCCCCGAGCCUCUGUACCCCUUCCUGCCGUUGGUACCUUUGUAAAAAUCCUUUGUAGAAGGAAUCCUACCUGUUUGUUCUGCUGUUUCUAGUAGUUUGAAGCCCCUUCUGUCCCUUACACUGCGUCGGGUAGUUCAGAAGCUGCUCCCAGGAAGUUGCUCCCAGGGAAGACUUCCUGUUUCCCAGAGGGCCUAGUGUCUACUGUAUAUUAAUUACUGGACUCCAACAUAAACCAGAAUGGACCCAGACAACAAGCCAAGAGCAGAGACUGCAAAAUGAUCUACACCUACGUGCAGGGGAAGUUUCAAGGAGCCAGAGAGGGCCCUCAGCAUUUCUGGAGCCGACCGUUGUAACCAAAGGAGCCAGAACGAGGUAAACCCCCCCAGACCAAAGAGCUACAGCAGAGUCUUUUGACGUAUCCUACGAGGGCGAAGACUCCUAUCCUGCCUUGACUGACAGGCUCAUCUACCCCUCCUCUGGGACGUUGACUCACCUGGGAGCAGCGGUGGCGUUGCGAACCCCGAGCCCCCACCCCCAUAGGCUAUCCUUUUAAUAAAGGCCUUAUCAAGAAAGGA